RNAcentral lists this ribosomal RNA (449 nucleotides) under uncultured organism. RNAcentral's name for it is "partial 16S ribosomal RNA". It matches the Rfam family "Bacterial small subunit ribosomal RNA", at positions 334 to 799 of the family's 1533-position model. The record is from RNAcentral.
CACUCCUGCGGGAGGCAGCAGUGGGGAAUCUUGCGCAAUGGGCGAAAGCCUGACGCAGCCAUGCCGCGUGAAUGAUGAAGGUCUUAGGAUUGUAAAAUUCUUUCACCGGGGACGAUAAUGACGGUACCCGGAGAAGAAGCCCCGGCUAACUUCGUGCCAGCAGCCGCGGUAAUACGAAGGGGGCUAGCGUUGCUCGGAAUUACUGGGCGUAAAGGGAGCGUAGGCGGACAUUUAAGUCAGGGGUGAAAUCCCGGGGCUCAACCUCGGAAUUGCCUUUGAUACUGGGUGUCUUGAGUAUGAGAGAGGUGUGUGGAACUCCGAGUGUAGAGGUGAAAUUCGUAGAUAUUCGGAAGAACACCAGUGGCGAAGGCGACACACUGGCUCAUUACUGACGCUGAGGCUCGAAAGCGUGGGGAGCAAACAGGAUUAGAAACCCCAGUAGUCCCAUG